Long non-coding RNA from Hylaeus volcanicus, 973 nucleotides. RefSeq lists it as uncharacterized. The record is from RefSeq and is a predicted model, not a curated record. Lineage: Eukaryota; Metazoa; Arthropoda; Insecta; Hymenoptera; Colletidae. The transcript is spliced from 3 exons.
GACUGUGUACUCAGUCUUCUCGGCGGUCUCGAGCAUUGCAGUUGUAAGUUGUGACACAUUGUGUCAUAUUGUGUCGCAAUAAUAUCUCGUAACUCCUCUUAAAGGAACUAUAGUGAGAAAAACCGUUUGCUACUUCGGAAUCUGUUAAAAUACAACCGUUUCGUGAACUCAAUCGUACAUGUGCCAUGGUAAAAUCGCGUAGAAUCGUGUCUAUGGUUUCAAGUGGUGGAUGAUUUCGACCGAGAAAGUUUUACUUUCAGCAGCCUUCCCGUGUGUCCGUUUUCGUCCGGUAUUCUUGCUUUUUCCCUCAAUUUUGUGCAGACAUGCGUUAGAUAUGUUUUAAUCUGUCCGAAGCUUCAUCUUGGAAAAUAUCUGUUCAUUUCUCGGUGAUGGAUUAAGGAUAACGUGUCCGUCAAUCGUUGAUUCCAGGGCGAAAGGUGAAAUUUGUAAACAAAAUAAUUGUGUAAGCGAACACAGUUUGUAUUCGCGUGGACCACAUGAUAGAUGAAUGGCUAAAUGAAUAAAUAAUAAAAUGACUGACAGGCGUUGAGGAAGAUUGUACAAGAUAAUUGAUGUAAUAUGUAAUAUCCUAAACGGAUAUCUUAGGGUUCCUAAUAGAAUUACGAAGAUUGAAGGUCACUUCAGUUCUACUUAAAAUUCAUAAGCCAACGAAAGAAUUUAUUUUGAAGAAAGCAAGACGUUACAACAAACAUAUGCACAUGAACAAAUGGCUAUUAAUAAGUUUUCAUAAAUACGUCUCGAGCUAGUUUUUAGUUAGAAAUAUCUGAGACUUUGUGACAAGCGAUUACAAAAUCGUUCUUGGCAGUUGUGUAUUCUCUGUCGGCAGCUUUCGCGUGUCGUUAAGAGGUAAGGUCUAGUCAGGAUUUUCAAAAAAUCGAUAUUUUUGCAUUUCCUUAAAGUAUGAUAUUUUGAAUAUAUUCUCUGCAAAUUUCAAGUUAAUUCAAUGAAUAGU